GCGGGUGUCGUAUAACGGCUAUUAUGUGACCUUCCCAAGGUUGAGACGAGGGUUCGACUCCCUCCACCCGCACCA
Molecule: transfer RNA, 75 nt
Filed under: Opitutaceae bacterium BACL24 MAG-120322-bin51
Lineage: Bacteria; Pseudomonadati; Verrucomicrobiota; Opitutia; Opitutales; Opitutaceae
Also listed under: 5 other names
Description: tRNA-Gly
Rfam family: tRNA
About the family: Transfer RNA (tRNA) molecules are approximately 80 nucleotides in length. Their secondary structure includes four short double-helical elements and three loops (D, anti-codon, and T loops).
Source: RNAcentral